CUAGUUGUUACGCCAACUGAAACAAUAAAACAGGCGACGCUAUUUUGUAAUAAAAAAGAAUGGCAGGAAUCCAACCUUAUGCAUUUGAACCGGAGACCGAGACCGAGUCGGAGGAGGAGAUCUCUGAAGAGGAAGCCGGGGGUCGGAGAAAAAUGGAUGUAUCAGAAUGGUGUACAUGUGGGCAUUGCUGCACUAUGGAGACGGAGGCAGAAAACAUUUGUUGCAGAGAGGUGACCGUGGUACUAAAUAGAAUGCAACAGCUGGAGUCACCAGUCCACUGCAUGACAGAC
Long non-coding RNA from Engraulis encrasicolus (European anchovy), 290 nucleotides. RefSeq lists it as uncharacterized. The transcript has 3 exons. NCBI's taxonomy places the organism in Eukaryota, Metazoa, Chordata, Actinopteri, Clupeiformes, Engraulidae. The record is from RefSeq and is a predicted model, not a curated record.